UAUUUAUAUAAAGUGGAGGGUCGCCUAACAAGGUGGUCGGAGAGGGUAAGAGGGAAUGAGAAGAAAAGGGGGGAGAGAGAGAGGAGUUUGUGAUACGAACAUCAUGUCCUUCUGCCUGGUUGUUUUGGGUUUAAGUUUUGUCCUGUGUUCCAUCAGAUGAGAUGUUGUGACAGGAGUUUAGUGUGGUGAUUAUUAAGUAAGGUUCAUUAAGUUGUUCUAAAUGGUUAGUCAUAAAAUGUAUUCUAUUUUCAUGGAUAGGAAUCGAAUCCCAGACUUCAUGAUUAAAGAAUGUGACGAGCAACUAUUAUAUCACACCUCAUGAUUAUAGCAUUAUUGAGAGACAUAACUUAUGUGUCGUGUUUUACACCUUUGCGAGUUUGUAUUUUGUAUCUUCAAUAGAAAGGUGAGUGAUUUCAUUGAGUUUACCUAGUGAUACAAUAGAAAAGUUGCAACAUUUUUGUAAGAAGGUUGGGCUUAAAUUUUAUUAUAAUUGUGAGUAUUAAUGGAUUCAUUUUCGGAUAAGAUCUGGAAGACGUCAGUUAAAUCUAAAUUGUG
This 555-nucleotide long non-coding RNA is filed under the name Gossypium barbadense (sea-island cotton). Its description in RNAcentral is "long non-coding RNA (GBAR_LNC015152)". The record is from RNAcentral. Lineage: Eukaryota; Viridiplantae; Streptophyta; Magnoliopsida; Malvales; Malvaceae.